UGGAGGGGUUGAAGGGAGAGCAGGGGACAGGGGAAGAAAAUAAGAACCAAGAGAGUAUGUAAAGGUGCAUAUCUCCAAUGAUGAAUGUCAUUGUGUUGUACCAAUAAAAGGAUAUACAAAAAAAUAAAAAUAAAAAAAAUGUUAAUUUAAACAUGCACCAUAUUUUUGUAUCAUGCCUUGUACUUAAACUGGGAUUUCUUGAGCUCUGUGAAUAUAAAUAUAUAUAAUGAAUCUUCAAGAGAGACAUUGUAUUCCCCAAGCCAAUUUAACCAGUCUCCAAUUUUUCAGAGCAUCUCAAGGAGAAGAGUUCUCCAAGCAGCUGUUUACAAAUGCCUCACUAGAGGAAUGGCUCUUUCCAGCAAAAGGCAGUAAAGGACAAAGGUUUCUAGGAACUGGGAAUGUCUGGAAUGCCUUGGACAACAUCAAAACCCUAUCAAGGGGGUUCACUACUACCAUAAUCAAUGACCUUUCCAAUGAC
Long non-coding RNA from Heterocephalus glaber (naked mole-rat), 478 nucleotides. The record is from Ensembl. NCBI's taxonomy places the organism in Eukaryota, Metazoa, Chordata, Mammalia, Rodentia, Bathyergidae.